Molecule: non-coding RNA, 820 nt
Filed under: Monodelphis domestica (gray short-tailed opossum)
Lineage: Eukaryota; Metazoa; Chordata; Mammalia; Didelphimorphia; Didelphidae
Description: Bacterial large subunit ribosomal RNA
Rfam family: Bacterial large subunit ribosomal RNA
Source: Rfam by way of RNAcentral
AAGCAAAUAUUAAAAUUUGUACCUUUUGCAUAAUGAUUUAGCUAGUUAACACAGACAAAAAGAACUUAUGCCUGACCCCCAAAAUUAAGUGAGCUACUAUAAAACAGUUAAUUAUGAACUAACUCCUCUAUGUAGCAAAAUAGUGAGAAGAUUUUAUAGUAGAAGUGAAAAACCUAUCGAACUUAAUGAUAGCUGGUUAUCUAAAAUAUGAAUUUUAGUUCAACCUUAAGUUUAACAUAAAGCAUUUUAAUAACUUAAGCAUAUCUUAAACUUAAUAGUUACUCAAAUGAGGGACAACUCAUUUGAUCUAGUAGACAGACUAGUAGAGGGUAAUGACUAAACCCCAUUGUAGGCCUAAAAGCAGCCACCAAUUAAGAAAGCAUUAAAGCUCAAAUACAAAAUUUUAUUUAAUACCAUAAAAUUAUCAAAACCCCUAUUAUAGUAUUGGAUGGUUCUAUUUAAUUAUGGAAGACAUAAUGCUAAAAUCAGUAAUAAGAAUUUAUUCUCCUCACAUAAGCCUAAGUUAGUCAAUGGAUAACCCACUAACACUUAACAAAAUAGUAAUUGUAUACAUUAACCAGUAAAUUACCUCAAUUAUUGUUAAUCCAACACAGGUAUGCAUUAUACAAGGACAGAUUAAAAAGAAUAAAAGGAACUCAGCAAUCCAAAACCCCACCUGUUUACCAAAAACAUCACCUCUAGCAUUUUAAGUAUUAGAGGCACUGCCUGGCCAUGGUAUCCUGACUGUGCAAAGGUAGCAUAAUCACUUGUCUCCUAAAUAGAGACUUGUAUGAAUGGCAAAACAAGAUCAAUGAAAUUG